Molecule: non-coding RNA, 170 nt
Filed under: Tetraselmis striata
Lineage: Eukaryota; Viridiplantae; Chlorophyta; Chlorodendrophyceae; Chlorodendrales; Chlorodendraceae
Source: RNAcentral
GAACCGAUGCUCUCAGAGAACUUGCAGUUAUACUGCCCUGGUAACCAUGACAUGGCUUCCGGCGCGGAGCAUGGUAUAUCUUACCUGGCGCGAUUCCCGUCGCCUUGGCAGUCCUCCGGCAGCUCCUCUCCGCUGUGGUACAGCAUCGACAUCGGCCCCAUGCAUCUCAU